CACCGCGGUUAUACGAGAGGCCCAAGUUGAUGACCCCCGGCGUAAAGAGUGGUUAAGAAAUACCUGAGACUAAAGUCGAAUGCCUUCAGAGCUGUUAUACGCAUCCGAGGGUAAGAAGCCCAAACACGAAAGUGACUUUAACAAAUCUGACCCCACGAAAGCUAGAAUA
Molecule: ribosomal RNA, 169 nt
Filed under: Lophiodes miacanthus
Lineage: Eukaryota; Metazoa; Chordata; Actinopteri; Lophiiformes; Lophiidae
Description: partial 12S rRNA
Source: RNAcentral